RNAcentral lists this ribosomal RNA (399 nucleotides) under uncultured fungus. RNAcentral's name for it is "partial small subunit ribosomal RNA". It matches the Rfam family "Eukaryotic small subunit ribosomal RNA", at positions 30 to 432 of the family's 1831-position model. The record is from RNAcentral. Lineage: Eukaryota; Fungi.
GCUUGUCUCAAAGAUUAAGCCAUGCAUGUCUAAGUGUAAAUAAGUCUAUACUGUGAAACUGCGAAUGGCUCAUUAAAUCAGUUAUCGUUUAUUUGAUGAUCUCUUACUACUUGGAUAACCGUAGUAAUUCUAGAGCUAAUACAUGCUAACCCUCCAACUUCUUGGAAGGAGCGUGCUUGUCUGAUUAGAACCAACCCGCGCAAGCGGUAUUUGGUGAGUCAGGACAAAAAUAUGGAUCGCAUGCCUUCGGGCGGCGACGCGUCGGUCGAGUUUCUGCCCUAUCAGCUUUCGACGGUAAAGUAUUGGUUUACCGUGGCUUUGACGGGUAACGGGGAAUUAGGGUUUGAUUCCGGAGAGGGAGCCUGAGAAAUGGCUACCACAUCUAAGGAAGGCAGCAGG